This 497-nucleotide ribosomal RNA is filed under the name uncultured bacterium. Its description in RNAcentral is "partial 16S ribosomal RNA". It matches the Rfam family "Bacterial small subunit ribosomal RNA", at positions 28 to 507 of the family's 1533-position model. The record is from RNAcentral.
GAUGAACGCUGGCGGCGUGCCUAAUACAUGCAAGUCGAGCGAACAGAUAAGGAGCUUGCUCCUUUGACGUUAGCGGCGGACGGGUGAGUAACACGUGGGUAACCUACCUAUAAGACUGGGAUAACUUCGGGAAACCGGAGCUAAUACCGGGUAACAUUUGGAACCGCAUGGUUCUAAAGUGAAAGAUGGUUUUGCUAUCACUUAUAGAUGGACCCGCGCCGUAUUAGCUAGUUGGUAAGGUAACGGCUUACCAAGGCGACGAUACGUAGCCGACCUGAGAGGGUGAUCGGCCACACUGGAACUGAGACACGGUCCAGACUCCUACGGGAGGCAGCAGUAGGGAAUCUUCCGCAAUGGGCGAAAGCCUGACGGAGCAACGCCGCGUGAGUGAUGAAGGGUUUCGGCUCGUAAAACUCUGUUAUUAGGGAAGAACAAAUGUGUAAGUAACUGUGCACGUCUUGACGGUACCUAAUCAGAAAGCCACGGCUAACUACGUG